GACGAAGGUGGCGAGCGUUGUUCGGAAUCACUGGGCAUAAAGCGCACGUAGGCGGCGGCGUAAGUCGGAUGUGAAAUCCCUCGGCCUAACCGAGGAACUGCGUCCGAUACUGCGUUGCUUGGGGACCGAAAGGGUGCAUGGAAUUUCCGGUGGAGCGGUGAAAUGCGUUGAUAUCGGAAGGAACGUCGGCGGCGAAAGCGGUACACUGGUUGGUUACCGACGCUGAGGUGCGAAAGCCAGGGGAGCAAACGGGAUUAGAAACCCGAGUAGU
Molecule: ribosomal RNA, 271 nt
Filed under: uncultured bacterium
Lineage: Bacteria
Description: partial 16S ribosomal RNA
Rfam family: Bacterial small subunit ribosomal RNA
Source: RNAcentral